GUACAGUCACUUCUGCUCCAUGAAAGUGAGGUCAUCAUUCGUUUCAGGAAGUUGAGUGAGGCCUGAGACAGCAAUGUUUCGUUUAGCCUGGCGGUGGCCCUCCUUGUCUUCAAGAAGAGCAUCCGUGGCUAGCAGUGGAAGAUGGGGUUGGGCCCCAGAUGGUCACAGGAAUGAGGAAAGAAUGACUCUGGCUCCUAGCAGCAGAAUCUUAACUGAAGACGCGAUCUUACUGCAUUGACCAGGAUGGUCUCAAACUCCUGGCUACAGGCUAUCCUCCUGCCUCUGUCUCCCAAAGCGCUGGGAUUACAAGCGUGAGCCACCAGGCCUGGCCCAAUUGCUUCUUAACAACUUACUAUUCUUUGUUCACUACAGUGUAUACAUAACUGACUUUUUAUUUGGAUCUUCAUUUUGUAAUGAAGGCUCUGGUCACAUGUAAGACUUGUAUUAAAUAAAUUUGCCUGCUGUUCUGUUAAUCUGUGUUAUGCUAAUUUAAUUCUUGAGCCCAGCUGGGUCCUGGAGAGGAUAGAGUGAAAUUUUGUGGCAGCUACGUAAGUCAAUGAAAUUGGAAACAGAAAAACAAUCUUUAAAAAUCAAUAAAAUCAUAAACUUAUUCUUUGAGAAGAUCAAUAUAGUUUAUAAACCUUUCAACUGACUCACCCACAGGGAAAAAGAAGAAAACAAAAAUCAGGAGGGAGGGAAUGUUAUUACAAAUUUUGCGGAUAUUAAAAGGAUUAUAAGGGAACAUUACAAACAACUCCUUGUCCAUAAAUUGAUCAAUUUACAUGACAUGGAAUAUUACUUGAAAGGCACAAACUACCAAAGCUCACUCAGGAAGAAUGGAUAACCUAGAUACUUGCGUGUAUGUAUGUGUGUGCAUACAUACAAUUUUUACACACACACACACACACACACAUAUAUAUAUAUAUAUGCACAGUUAAUUUUUUCUAUCUUUUGUAGAGAUGGGUUUUUACCAUGUUGCCUGGGCUGGUCUUGAACUCCUGGGCUCAAGCGCUCUGCCCACCUUGGCCUCCCAAAGUGCUGGGAUUACAGGCUUGAAACACUGCACCUGCCUGGCCUGAUAUAUAUUUCAAAACUGAUUUAAUAGAUAAAGCCUUCCAACAACAACAAUAAAAAAAACAAUAUUGAGAUGAAUUCAUUGGUGGAUUCUACUAAACAUUUAAAGAGUAAAGAUGUGAAUUUUAAAUAAACCCAGAAACAAAAAGAGAAGGGAACACCCA
Molecule: long non-coding RNA, 1238 nt
Filed under: Homo sapiens (human)
Lineage: Eukaryota; Metazoa; Chordata; Mammalia; Primates; Hominidae
Description: HSALNT0040052
Source: RNAcentral